This is a non-coding RNA of Podarcis lilfordi (Lilford's wall lizard), 25150 nucleotides long. Lineage: Eukaryota; Metazoa; Chordata; Lepidosauria; Squamata; Lacertidae. The record is from the annotation of a GenBank genome assembly.
GCUUCCUCAAUCGAUCAGGACGUCGGUCUCUCUGCUCUUUGGAUUUUGCCUUUUGUUUUGUUUCUUGGUUGUUUCCUGCCUCGUGGUUCAGCGUUGCGAGAAGGACCAGGGAAAAACCGAGUGGGUGAGUUGUUGCGCCCCCUCAGAACUGCUUACUGCCUGCUUUUGUCCUUUGUCCCUCCUUCCUGGCCCUUCUCCACAUUUCCGAUCCGCCAAAGGCACCUGGGGUUGCAACUCCCCCCCCCCCCAUUUCCUCAUCCAUCCUUACGGGGGCUAGUCGGCUGAAGUGCGCUCGUUCAUGGCUUCUGUUCGAGCCGCGUGGAUUAAAGGCUAGCAGCGGUGCUGGUGGGUCCCAUUACGCCCCCCCCACCUUACACUCUCGGUCACAGAGGCGUUUCGCUGUAGCCUUCCCUUGGGUCCCCGGCUCCCCCCCCAUCUGCGUUCCCUCGCUGCCCCGAGGGGAGGAUUGCUUCUUAUUGUUUCCUCCCUCGCUGCAGGGCUAGCGAACGGCUCGGUUAUCCUUUUAAACACGGCAUUCUGCAUUGAGUAGCAGCCGUUGGGAGACCGAGCGCUGAGCAAUUUAGGGGAUUGUUUGAGUCUUCUUCGAGACGGAUAGACAGCAAAGAGUGUUUGGGGCUUUCCAGCGCUUCAACCUUUAGGGCGCAGUUUGAGCCUUGGAGCACCGUCUCCGGACCACUGCCUUCGGCGGCUCAAACCCCUGCCAGCACACACACACACACCCCCCCGCUCGGCACGGCUGUUGAGCCCCACGCGGCUCCUUCCAGCUUGUCUCAAGCGGCUCAUUGUUUACUUAAUACAGCUUCAGCGCUGCCUUGGCUUUAGCCGCUGAUUGUGGUUGCUUCAGCCGGUCCUUCCAGUUUGUUUGUGUGCACGUGGGUUGUGUGUUGCGUGGGACGGCAGAAAGAGUGUUUUGGCUGCAGAGAGGGAAUUGGGCUUCCUAGGGCGCGGAGCAUUCGCGAAGGUGCUUUUGCUAUUAGCCGCCGUUGCCCUGCAAUUUGCUGACAGGCGAAGAGUGCCUUUGUGUUCCUUUGCUCCCCGCUCUCUUUGCCUUUUCAUUGGCUGCAGGCUUCGCCUUUGUCCCACCCUCUGUUUUCAGGCUUGCUCAAGUCUGUAUGCGCUCACAGCUGGCACCAGCCGGGUUUCACAUCCCCCCCCCCCCCAGCACAACAUUAAGGGAAGGGGGAAAGUUUCUGAGGCACAGGGUUGCCUUUUGGCUGUUUUGUGAAUUCCUUUGCACUCACGCCUACGAUCCGCAUUGGCGGCAGGGAGCACGUGGUCGGUAGCGACCAUUUUAGAAGCAACCACGUGCUUGCGUAGUCAGGCAGCGGCCGACUGCCAUCUUGGGAGGGGCAGAGAAGUGCCCGGUCGCUUGCAGCUUCAAUAAUCCUAACUCCUCCAUAAAUAAAGCAAUUAUUCUUUGGAAAUCCUCAGGCUGUUGUAUUGGUUUCAUUAGAGGUCAUUCAUAGGAAUAAUUCAUAAUUGGGGCAAUAAAUUGAUUGUAUACAACGGGUUAAGAAAUAAAUAAAUAAUUACAUAUCAACUAUUAAUAAUUAAAAUAUAAUUGCAUUAAUUAAUUAAUUCAUACUUCAGUUUAAGUCAUACAUUAGUUUAUUAUUAAUUCAUACAACAUCUAUAAUAAUCCAUACAAUUUUAAUUAAUUUUAAUUUAUAUUCUAAUUAUUAAUUCAUUCAAUAAUUUAACAACUCUAAUUUAAACUUACACACAUACUAUAGGGUAGGGCAAUUUUGGAGGUUAGCAAUUUUGGUGAGGUGUUUUGUGUGUGCUGUGCAGAUUAGUUAAUUCUCAUUCAGUGGAUUGAGUUUUCGGGCCUAUUUGUUUUGGUUAAUAAUCAAAUAGAUUGUCGCAGCGCUGCCAUUAUUGAAGGUCCUUUUACUAAAAAGUUCAGCAUUUCGACUGGUUAAUUUUAACUGGCUUCUGGCCUGAAUACCGGGUUUUAAUUUAGUAUUUGAGGCCUUUUGUCUCGUCGCUGCUGAAUUAAAUUUGCUUUAUUGAGUUCUAUUUACAAUUGGUGUUUGCUGCUCUACGGGUCUGGGUAAAAGGCGGAUCUACACGGAUCCUCAUGGAUCCUCCACUUUUUAAACAAUAACUCCAACAAAUGCAGUGUCAAAUCACACCUAGAAGGCACGCCUACAAACUGGACUAUAAAAAACGUGGAUCCAACACUUUGCCGUGCUGCAGCACCACAAAAACAUGGAUCUGAGGCACGGAUCCUCAUGAAUUCAUAUGAUUUUUAUAUUGAAACAAAAUAAAAACACCAUGAUACUGUAGACCACAUCUUAGUCUGUAGGCAGAACCAAAAAAAUCACGCAUCCACUGUUUCGUGGUGCCGCAAUGGCGCAAAAACAUGGUUAAAAAACACGGAUCCUCAUGAAUCCCCAUAAUUUUUGCACUAGAUCAGCCCAAACUCACCGUAAAAUUACACAUCAUGUCCAGGGGCACCACCUGCACCACAAAAAUCACGGAUGCACGGCUUCCUGGCCAUACUGUGGCCCAAAAGCGUGGUUCCGAAGCACGGAUCUUCAUGGAUCCUCACACUUUUUGCAUUCGGCCCCCCCCCAAACUCACUGUCAAAUCACAUAUCAUAGCCAGGGGCACAGCCUACACCACAAAAAACUCGGAUCCACGCCUGCCUGGCCAUACCGUGGCCCAAAGCGUGGUUCCGAAGCAUGGAUCCUCAUGGAUCCUCAUGAUUUUUUGCACAAGACCAGCCCAAAGUCACUAUCAGAUCAAACAUCAUGGCCAGGGGCACAGCAUCUACCACAAAAAUCACGGACCCAUGGCUUCAUGGUGAAACCGUAGCCCAAAAACGUGGUUCCGAACCACGGAUCCUCACGGAUCUUCAUGCUUUUUGCAUUGGGCCACCCCAAACUCACUGUCAAAUCACACAUCAUGUCCAUGGGCACUGCCUUCACCACAAAAAACUCGGAUCCACGGCUUCCUCGACAUACCGUGGCCCAAAAACGUGGUUUUGAAGCACGGGUCCUCAUGGAUCCUCACGCUUUUUGCAUUAGGCCACACCUAAAUCACUGUCAAAUCACACAUCAUGGCCAUGGGCACAGCCUGCACCACAAAAAACUUCGAUGCACGGCUUCCUGGCCACUCCAUGACCCCAAAACGUGGUUUUGAAGCACGGAUCCUCAUGGAUCCUCACGCUUUUUGCAUUGGGGAACCCCAAAUUCACCCUUUAUUCAAAUAUCUUGUACAUAACCACAGAUCUGACCACAAACAUCAUGGAUCUACUGCCUCAUGGCCCUGGCCAGAUGCUACCCUGGAUAUAUUGGCCAAUUUUUAGGUGGGUGUGCUGGGAUGGAGGAAACGGAGUCGGCUGAAUCUCUAUCCAUUAAAGAUGGGCAUCCAAUGGCUGGGCCAGAAUAAUUUCAGUUUGGUUUGCCAGCUCCCAGCUCUUCAUGGGGCGCAAUAGUCACCUGUAGCUGCCAUCAGGAGUCCCGGUGUGAUCCUGGAUGCUUCUGUCUCUAUGGAGGCAUUGGUCACAAAUGUAGCCAAACUGGAAUUUUUGAAUCUAUGUCAGCUUAGGCGAUCAGUACCGUACCUGUCCCUUUCCAACCUAGCCAUGGUGAUCCACGCAGUAGUCAGCUGCAGACUAGACUACUUUAACUUGCUGUACACCUGAGCCAGGGAGUGCAGGGUAUAAAUGUGAUAGAGAGUGAGAGAGAGAGAUAUGCAGGGCUACCCUUGAGACUGCUCCAGAAACUCCAAAUGGUCUAAAAUGCAGAUGCAUGAGUUCUUACUUGGACUUUGUAGAGAGCCCACAUUCAGUUGGUUGUUCAUCAGCUGGAUUGGCUCCAGGUGGAGUAUCGAAUCAGGUUCAAUGUUUUGGUGCUAAUCUUUAAAGCCCUAAACAGUCUGUGACCUUUCUUAUCUGUGGGAAUUAUCUUCCAAUACACCCCCCCAUGAGUGUCACACUCAUCUAACAGCAACCUACUGGUGGUCCCUGGCCCAAAACAUAUCCAGCUGUCCUCAACCAGAGCCAGAGCCUUUAUGGUGGAGCGCUUUGUCUAACUGAGACCAGGGCUCAGUGCAAUCUAUCUCAGUUCUCUCACUUGUCAUGGUGAGUGGGCUUGCACAUUCCUAUGACCCUUGUGAGCGAAGCCAUUGGGAAUCUCGUACUCCCAGCAGGGUCACCCAAGGUGGUAAGGUCAAAGAAAAUUAAAUAUGCUCAGAGUCCUGUAGUGAUUUCAUGCUCUUUAUUGCAGCUUGUAAAACAGUGACUGAAUUUCCCCCCCAAACCUCAGGCUUUUAUAUACAUUAUUUACACAAUGAGUCCCGUCUGGCUGGCUGAUUCUGCUUCCCUCCUGGAGCCUGAUUGGUCUUUUCCUGCAAGCCAAUCAGUUCUUGCAUUCUAGGAUCCUACUUGCCUAUUGUUCUAGGAUCCAAGCUUAGUACAUAACAGGGAAGGAGCUAGACAAAGAAUGAUCCAAGAAGUCCUCAACGGCAGAACAGGCGGGUGAUAACAAGCAGUGUGUUACAACGGCUCUGAAGGAGCAUGAAGGCUGCAGCAGAUAGGAUCCACCAGUUCGUCGUGACUACUCAUGCCAUCAGAACAGAGCCCUACUGCGAAGGCUGUCCGUUGGUCAGCGUGCACUGAUCUACACACAUAAAACAAAUUCACGCACAGGCGUCUUCCAAAAACCCAACCCAACCCCCCCAAACCCUCCCCCCAUGGCGAUCACUAAAUGGCUAUUCCAUUAACUAAAUGGCUAUUAAUGACUAUUCCAUUAACAGGGUGAGCUGAAGCAAAUUCUUGCCUCCCUUUGGGAUUAGCAAUAUUUCCUACAAUAUUCUUGUUGAAGGGCAUUGGAGAGUUAGGUGAGGGUCACUUUUCUGUUUUUCCAUCAAGCCCCCAGACAAGAAUGCUACAGCAUCAGCCCCAAACACUCAGUCUCAUAACAAAAAAUACUCAACGGGGUUAGGGCUGAGGGUAGGGGAAGUACAAUCAUGAUCUUUCCAGUCCUCUAGAAGCUGACCCUUUUGGUCAUUUUGGUCAUGGAGCCAAAUAUCUGUUCCCAAGUUUAAAGAUCUAAACAAGUAAAGAACAAGCUUGCCCUUUACAUGCAAAAGCCCUGAAAUUCAGCCCAUUGGGCAACGGAUCAUGGGGCUGGGAGGAGGGAGGUAAGGACUAGCACCUUCUCUGCCCUCCACCUCCAACAGCUACACCGGAAAGUUUCAUGAUGGGGUUCGAUUUGAGAAGCUGAAUGUUUAUAAAGGCACUUAGCCAAAUUCUGCCACGGAAAUUCUGAACAGAAAAUGUAAAGAAACUGAAGGUACAUUUUUUCACCUUUGGUGGACGUGCCCAAAGAUUAAGGCUUUCUGGGAAAUAAUAUAUAAUGAAUUUAAAAAGGUAUUUAAAUAUACCUUCUUGAAGAAACCAGAGGCCUUUCUCCUGGGCAUAGUCGGCCAAUUGGUGUUAAAAAAGGAUAGAACUUUCUUUAUGUACGCAACAACAGCAGCAAGAAUACUUAUCGCAAAGUAUUGGAAGACACAAGAGCUACCCACACUGGAGGAAUGGCAGAUGAAACUGAUGGACUAUAUGGAACUGGCGGAAAUGACUGGUAGAAUCCGUGACCAGGAGAAGAGUCGGUGGAAGAAGAUUGGAGGAAAUUUAAAGAUUAUCCACAGAAAUACUGCAAAAUUAAAGAAUGCUAGAUUGAUGAUGGAUUGAAAUUAAGUGGUUUCUAGCUGCACAGGUGUUAAAGUUAUAUAUAGACUAAGAUUAAGGAUUAGGCAUAAAAAGGUUAAAAGAAUGGAAAAUUGGCUAUUAAUAGAUAAGAAUUUAAAGUUAUACCAUAUUAAGAUUAAGGAUUGGGAUUAAAAAAGAGGGAAAGAAAUUGCUGGACAAAUAAAUUGAACUGGAAUACAAAAGAGGGAGGUAUGAGGAGGUCCAGAAAAUAAGUAAAUUUAAAAGUGGAGAUGAAAAGAUGGUAUUGUUUUUAACUGUUCUUUUUUUGUUUUUUGUAUUUUGUAUUGUGUAUUUUGUAUUGUGUAAUUUUCUUUUUAUUUUUAAAUUUUUUUAUUGAUGUGUCUUUUCUUAUUGGAAACUUUAAUAAAUAUCAUUUUUUUUUAAAAAAAGGAAAUUCUGAACAGAAACACUCUGCAGGUUCAGCCCCCAAAAGAAACUGCUCUAUGGUCUCUGUGUUGGGAAAUGGGAACCAAACUUGCUCAUCACCAACCUUCCCUCCACAAAUCAGUAUCACUAUGAGGCUGAACUGAACGGCUUGCUCCAGAGUUUUAAGAGAUACGUUUCUGUGGUGUUGUGGUUAAGAGCGGUGGACUCUAAUCUGGUGAGCUGGGUUCGCUUCCCCGCUCCUCCACAUGCAGGCUGCUGGGUGACCUUGGGCCAGUCACACUUCUCUCUGAACUCUCUCAGCCCCACCUACCUCACAAGGUGUCUGUUGUGGGGUGGAAGGGAAAGGAGAUUUUUAGCCACUUUGAGACUCCUUCAAGUAGAGAAAAGCAGGAUAUAAAAACUAACUCCAUAAAUAAGAAUUCUAUGGAAAAUGACCAUCCCUGCCAUGAUGAUGAAAACUAUAUGUUUGGAUUUUGCUGUAUUAUACCAACCUGUGGAAUAUGACAGUUCGCAGUUUCAAAAUCUAUUUGGCCACAGUGGAUUGACAGUCUGUUUUGUUUUUUUUAAGAUAUUUAUUACAUAUAUAAAGUUACAAAAAAUAAAAAGAAAAACCAUACAAAAUACAAAGAAAACUUUAGCCACAGCAUAGCAAGAAAUAAACAAGUAAAAAAGAACAAUAAGAUAGAAUAAAAAAGACUUGACAAAAAAAUAUAAAAAUACAUUGAGUUAAAAAAAAGACAAAAACAGAUUAAACCUUUACAUAACCUUUUUCUCUUUACUUAUUUCCAUGACCUCCUCUCACCUCCCAGUUUUGUAUUCUAGUUCAGAUCGUGUUUCCAGCAAAUCCUUCUAACCUUAUUUUCAUUUACGUAUUUUAAAAUUAGAAUAAUGUGAUUAAACCUCCUCUAAUUCAUCAAUUUCAUCAACUCAUUUUUGCUUAGUCCAUUAUAUCAUAUCUACCAGAACGAUCUAAUAUUCUUUUUCCAACCUCUUUCUAGCAUUCUUUUAUAUUGCAGUACUUUUGAAGGUAUAUUUUGAAUUUUUCCAAUCUUCUUCCAUCGACCCUUCUCCCUGGUCUCGAAUUCUGCCUGUCAUCUCAGCCAGUUCCAUGUAGUCCAUCACUUUCAUCUGCCAUUCUUCUCGGGUGGGCAAUUCUUGUGUCUUCCAGUACUUCCCGAUGAGUAUUCUUGCUGCUGUUGUAGCAUACAUAAAGAAAGUUCUAUCCUCCCUUCGCACCAAUUGGCCGACCAUGCCCAGAAGAAAGGCCUCUGGUUUCUUCAGAAAGGUAUAUUUAAAUACCUUUUUCAGUUCAUUAUAUAUCAUUUCCCAGAAAGCCUUAAUCCUUGGGCAUGUCCACCAAAGGUGAAAGAAUGUACCCUCAGUCUCUUUACAUUUCCAACAUUUACUAUCUGGCAAAUGAUAGAUUUUUGCUAGCUUGACUGGGGUUAAGUACCACCUGUAAAUCAUUUUCAUUAUAUUUUCUCUUAAGGCAUUACAAGCCGUAAAUUUCAUACCUGUGGUCCAUAACUUUUCCCAGUCAGCAAACAUAAUGUUAUGUCCAAAAUCUUGUGCCCAUUUAAUCAUAACAGAUUUAACCGUUUCAUCCUGUGUAUUCCAUUUCAACAGCAAGUUAUACAUUCUUGACAGAUUCUUAGUUUUAGGAUCUAACACUUCUGUUUCCAAUUAUGAUUUUUCCUCCUGGAAACCAAUCUUCUUAUCUAAAUUAUAAGCCUCCCUUAUUUGAUAAUAAUGAAGCCAGUCUCGAACUUUAGUUUUUAAUUUGUCAAAGCUCUGCAGCUUUAAUCUAUCUCCAUCCUGUUCUAAAAUUUCACAAUAUUUUGGCCAAUUUGUCUCCAUAUUAGUUUUUUUCAGAGCCUUAGCCUCCAUUGGUGACAGCCACCUUGGUGUUUUACUUUCCAACAAAUCCUUAUAUCUCACCCAGACAUUAAACAAUGUCUGGAUUGACAGUCUGGACACACGAAAACCUCUGGAAGAUCUUUUGAAUCAAUGCCUAUGCGAAAGCAGUGGUACCAGUCCUUGCAGUUUCCUUCACAGUAAACCAUAGUUAGGUCACCACUGGGCCUCCUGCACCCUUCCUUCAAGAAACAUAGUGACCAGCAGCCUUCAAACAAGGAAGGUAAAAUAUCUGAGCAAUAGGUUAGUGUAUCCUUCCAUCCCUCUGGGCAUGAUCGAGACACAGUAAUGUAACUCUCGUUCAAGAUUUGUCUCUUCUUGAGAGGAACAGCAUCAAUUUCCACUUGAAAAUAUUUGUCUUGUCCUUCAAAAUGGGUUUUCCCACAGUACUGUAUUAUUUCUUUUGCAAUCCAGGGUCUAAUGACAGCCAUAUCCUUUUGUAUGAACUGUAAUUGGGCAGCAGAAGCAAUCAGAUGGGCAAUGGUACAUGUGAAAGGACCGUAGUCACUGGAAUUACCUUGCCUGGGUAUAUCAGUUGGUGCAAAAAAUGACCAGCCGCAAAACUAUAGGGAUAUUUUGAAUCCAUCUCUUACAGACAUGCUAAGAAGGAUGUUAUUGCAUCAAUCACAGAGUGUUUCAAUCCAUGUUUGGAAUCAUAGAAUCAUAGAGUUAGAAGAGACCACAAGGGCCAUCGAGUCCAACCCCCUGCCAAGCAGGAAACACCAUCAGAGCACUCCUGACAUAUGGUUGUCAAGCCUCUGCUUAAAGACCUCCAAAGAAGGAGACUCCACCACACUCCUUGGCAGCAAAUUCCACUGUCGAACAGCUCUUACUGUCAGGAAAUUCUUCCUGAUGUUUAGGUGGAAUCUUCUUUCUUGUAGUCUGGAUCCAUUGCUCCGUGUCCGCUUCUCUGGAGCAGCAGAAAACAACCUUUCUCCCUCCUCUAUGUGACAUCCUUUUAUAUAUUUGAACAUGGCUACCAUAUCACCCCUUCACCUCCUCUUCUCCAGGCUAAACAUGCCCAGCUCCCUUAGCUGUUCCUCAUAAGGCAUCGUUUCCAGGCCUUUGACCAUUUUGGUUGCCCUCCUCUGGACACGUUCCAGUUUGUCAGUGUCCUUCUUGAACUGUGGUGCCCAGAACUGGACACAGUACUCCAGGUGAGGUCUGACCAGAGCAGAAUACAGUGGCACUAUUACUUCCCUUGAUCUAGAUGCUAUACUCCUAUUGAUGCGGCCCAGAAUUGCAUAGGCUUUUUUAGCUGCCGCGUCACACUGUUGGCUCAUGUCAAGUUUGUGGUCAACCAAGACUCCUAGAUCCUUUUAACAUGUACUGCUCUCAAGCCAGGUGUCCCCCAUCUUGUAUUUGUGCCUCUAAUUUUUUUUUGACCAAGUGCAAUACUUUACAUUUCUCCCUGUUAAAAUUCAUCUUGUUUGUUUUGGCCCAGUUCUCUAAUCUGUCAAGGUCGUUUUGAAGUGUGAUCCUGUCCUCUGGGGUGUUAGCCACCCCUCCCAGUUUGGUGUCAUCUGCAAAUUUGAUCAGGAUGCCCUUGAGUCCAUCAUCCAAGUCGUUGAUAAAGAUGUUGAAUAAGACCGGGCCCAAGACAGAACCCUGUGGCACCCCACUAGUCACUCUUCUCCAGGAUGAAGAGGAACCAUUGAUGAGCAUGUUGGGUAUAUUGAUUUAUUGCUCAGAUAAGCGUCCGGCACGCUUCCCCAUCGCGCACAGCUCUGGCCGGCAUUCCAAAGUCCACAUUCCUGAUACUUCUGAGCAUAGCAGAGUUCGUCAGCAGCGGCAAGAGAAAGACUGCAAAGAACUCCAGUGCCUUCUUCAGUGUGCUUAAAUAAAGUCCACUCAGGAUCUUAGCAGCUAAAAGCAGUUUUAUUUACAGCAGACUAUCCAUUAUCUAUCACAGCGAACAGCAUCGUGAAAACACGUCCUCUCUCCUCAAAAGCGAAAGUAGAGAGAAAGAACAAAGGCUUGAGGCUCUCGGAAAUGACGCAGAAGUUCCCCCCUCCCAACAGUAGGCAGAGCGUACACUCUGAGCUGUUUAACCCUGUAAGCUCAGGUUCUCCUCACAGAGCACCCUUUGGGUUCGGUCAGUCAGCCAGUUACAAAUCCACUGAGUGGUAGCAUAGUCAAGACCGCAUUUUACCAGCUUCUUUACAAGAAUAUCAUGGGGCUCCUUGUCAAAUGCCUUGCUGAAAUCAAGGUAGGCUACAUCCACUGCGUUCCCUUCAUCUAGCAGGCUUGUAAUUCUGUCAAAAAACGAGAUCAGGUUAGUCUGACAUGACUUAUUUUUCAGAAAUCCAUGCUGACUAUUGGUGAUCACAGCAUUCCUUUCUAGGUGCUCACAGACUGUUUGCUUAAUGAUCUGCUCCAGAAUCUUCCCUGGUAUUGAUGUCAGACUGAGUGGGCGGUAAUUAUUUGGGUCCUCUCUUUUCCCCUUUUUGAAAAUAGGGACAACAUUUGCCCUCCUCUAGUCUGCCGGGACUUCGCCUGUUCUCCAGGAAUUCUCAAAGAUGACUGACAGUGGUUCUGAGAUCACAUCUGCCAGUUCUUUUAAUACUCUUGGAUGCAGUUCAUCUGACCCUGGAGACUUGAAUUCAUCUAAACUAGCCAAGUAUUCUUGUACUAUCUCCUUAGUUCUUCUGGGCUGUGUUUCCUCUGCUGAAUCAUUUGCUCCAAAUUCUUUAGGUCGGGCAUUGUUUUCUUUAUCGGAGAAGACUGAGGCAAAGAAGGCAUUGAGGAGUUCAGCCCUUUCUGUGUCCCCUGUUUGCAUUUCACCAUCUUCUCCUCUGAGUGACCCCACUGUUCCUUUGUUCUUCCUUUUGCUACUGAACAUACCCAUAAAAGCCUUUUUGUUGCUUUUAACCUCUCUAGCAAGCCUGAGUUCAUGCUGUGCGUGAGCUUUUCUGACUUUGUGUCUACACGUGCUGGCUAUUUGUUUGAAUUCCUCUUUGGUGGUUUUCCCCCUUUUCCAUUUUUUGUACACAUCCUUUUUUAAUCUUAACUCAGUUAAAAGUUCUUUAGAUAGCCACCCUGGCUUCUUUAGGCACCUUCCAUGUUUCCGUCUCAUUGGUAUUGCCUGAAGUUGUGCGUUUACUAUCUCCCUCUUAACAAACUGCCAGCCAUCAUGAACUCCCUUUCCUUUUAGUAUUACUGUCCAUGGGAUCUCACCCAGCACUUCCCUAAGUUUUAUGAAGUCGGCUUUCUUAAAGUCAAGAAAUUGAGUCCUAGUAUGCUUGCCUGCUCCUUUCCGCUGUAUAGUAAACUUCAGAAGAGCAUGAUCACUCGCGCCUAAUGAUCCUUCCACUUCUACCCCACUAACCAGGUCAUCAACAUUGGUUAGGACCAGAUCUAAAAUGGCUGUUCCUCUUGUUGCUUCUCCCACUUUCUGGAGAAUGAAGUUGUCUGCAAGGCCAGUGAGGAAUCUGUUUGACCUUAUGCUCUUGGCUGAGUUUGACAUCCAACAAAUAUCUGGGUAAUUGAAGUCCCCCAUUACUACUAUCUCCCUUCCUUUUGCAUGCUUGGCCAUCUGUUCCAGGAAGGCAUCAUCUACGUCCUCCGUUUGACUUGGGGAUCUAUAGUAAACUCCCACAAUGAGGUCACUGUUAUUCUUCUCUCCCUUAAUUUUGACCCAAAUGCUCUCACUUUGGCUUUGAGGUUCUAAAUCUUGGAUCUCUUCACAGGUAUACACAUCCUUGACAUAUAACGCCACUCCUCCUCCUUUCUUGUCUGGUCUGUUUCUCUGAAAUAGAUUGUAUCCCUCCAUUAUUACAUUCCAAUCGUGGGACUUAUCUCACCAGGUUUCAGUGAUGCCCAUUAUGUCAUAUUUAGUUUGCUGUACCAAGAGCUCAAGCUCAUCUUGUUUAUUUCCCAUGCUUUGCGCAUUAGUGUACAGACAUUGAAGUCCAUUAAUCAUUCCCCGUGUCUCUUAUUUAAGGAUUUUUCCUCCCACCACUAGGUCUGCGUGCUGUUUGCUCCAUUUGGUCUAUGACAUUUGGAUGAUCAUCUUCAUCAAUUGAUAGACUCCUACCUUCAGGAGCACUGUCUCCCUCCCCACAUUAGUCAGUUUAAAGCCCUCCUGAUGAGGUUUCUGAGAUUUUUGGCAAAAACAUUUCUCCCAACCGUUGUGAGGUGCAGCCCAUCGCUUGCCAGAAGUCCAUCUUCAAGAAACUGCAGUCCGUGAUCUAAGAAUCCAAACCGUUCCUGUUUACACCAUUUGCGAAGCCAGCUGUUCACUUCCACUAUUUUUCCCUCUCUCCCUGGGCCACGUCGUUCAACUGGGAGGACAGAUGAGAUGACAAUUUGUGCAUUUAAUUGCUUCCAUUUCCUGCCCAGAGCCUCGUAGUCUCUUUUGAUCUUCUGGAGGCUAUUGCUUGCAGUGUCAUUGGUUCCCACAUGAACCAAGAGGAAGGGGUAUUUGUCAGUGGGCUUUAUGAUUCCUUGCAGUCGUUCAGUUACAUCUUGGAUCUUAGCCCGGGGAGACAGCACACUUCCCGAGACAUCUUGUCAGGCCCACAGAUCACUGCUUCUGUUCCCCUCAGUAGGGAAUCCCCUAUCACCACUACACGCCUCCUCUUAGGUUUGGUCGGGGUUCUUCCGUGAGCUGUCCGUUCCAAGGUCGCCUGCACAUUCCCUGAGGACUGACUUUGCUGCUCGUCUUCAUAUACCUGAUCGACUGUAAUGAGGAGAGAUCCUCAAAUGGAGUCUGCUCUUCGUCUUCCAUGCUAGGGGAGAGGACCUCAAAGCGAUUGUGUAUUUCUAAACAAUCAGAGCGAACCCUGGGCCUCCUACUUCUUUGAGUCACGUUUCUCCAUAUAUCUGGCUCCUGUGUUGGUGAACUAGCCUCCUUCUCAGGGAGUCCUCUGUCUCCUCCUUGGUGGAGACGGUGUGCUCUGUUGCUUCCAAGAAGAGCUCCAGCUCUCUAAUUCUUUGGAGCGUAGCUACACGUUCCUCCAGUUGCUGGACUUUGUCUUCUAAGAGGGCAAUCAACAUGCAAUUGCUGCAGGUAAAGCUGCCUGCAAUCUUUGGCAAGAUGGCAAACAUUGCGCAGGAACCGCAGGCGACUGCAGCUGUUCCCUCCCCCUCCAUCUUGAGAACGUGUUGUUGGGGGUGGCUACAGCGAUCCUCCAUCAUAAAAAGCAUGAAGACAGGACAAAUAACUCCCCCCCCAAAAAAACCAAAAAACCCCCCAAAAAAACCUAGGUCUCCCCCAACAAACAUUUGAGACUAGCUCCCCUAAAUCUAAAAGAUGGAUCAAACUGCGUGCGCCGCUAGAACACCCUUUUGCUCCUUCUUCAGCUGCUGCCCUGCAAGCUCUGAUAAGCUCCUCCCACAGCUAAUCACCUGCCUCAACAGAAACCCUGCCCCCUCUGACCUUUGCACAGGGAGAGCAGCUAAUCAGCCACAAAGAAACACACACACAAGAAAACCCUUUUUGCUCCUUCAGCUGCUGCCCUGCAAGCUCUGACUGCUGUGGUGAUAUAACUAAAUAGUUCGACUGAUGAUUUCACAGUACAGUAGCUGAAGGAGUCAUUCCCAACAGCAUAGUUUUGGGGUCCAAUGCAAAUUUAGGGUAUUUUUUUACAUUUUUUCAUUUCGAAAUGAACUUUCCUCCAAAACUUUUGGUCUUUUCACAGGUCCACCAUAAAUGGAAGAAGAUUCCUCAAGGUCUAUCACAUUUCCAGCAAUGUCCAUUCAUUGCAUUAUUCAUCUUCUGUAUAUUUUUCAAAGUUAUAUACCAUUGAAAGAACAUUUUUGUACAGUCUUACCUCAUGUUACAGCCGCUUCAGGUUACGUGUUUUUGGGUUGCGGACCGCGGGAAUCCUGGAAGUACCGGAACGGGUUACUUCCGGGUUUCGCCGCUUUCACAUUCGCAGAAGCGCCAAAUUGCGCUGGUGCCUGUGCAGACGUGGCGCUUCAGGAUGCGAACGCUGUGAGUUGCAGAUGUGCCUCGGUCAUGGGUUAUGUCUGCAACCCGAGGUUCCACUGUACCAAUUUUGUUUUAGGGCUUAACUUGCAGUAAAUUUUAUUCCUUUAUUCAUAAUUGUUCUCAUUGUUCCACUGUGAACUGCGUGGUUGCUGAACAACUCCAGGCACGCCUGGAGGAUGCGGACCAUUUGGAUCCCUUCCAAUCGGGAUUCAGGCCUCACCAUGGGACUGAAACUGCCUUGGUCGCGCUGGUUGAUGAUCUCCGGCGAGCUAGGGACAAAGGUGAGAGUUGUUUCCUGGUUCUGCUGGAUCUCUCAGCGGCCUUUGAUACAAUCGACCAUAACAUCCUGUGAUGGGAUGAUGAGCUGCUUGUGCGUAAAAUCGUAUCCCCUCAGAGUUUGUUCAAGUCCACAAACCUCUGUCUGUGACAGAGCCCCUCAGACAUGGCUACUCUAGUCACUAGCAGAUUCCGACAGUGGUUGCUUUCGUAAUCGCUUCCAACAUAAAAGCUCCUUAACGGAAACACGUCUUCUGGAAUCUCUGCGUGACAGUUUCCGGCGAGGAGUGGGUGUUCUUACAGGAGGUCCUGAAACCUCUCCACUGUUUUCGCUGGAAGUGUCUCUGAGCCAUCCCUCCAGCUCAGCUCCUCUCCCCCUGCUGGUUCCCUCAUCAGCUGCUGCGUCUCUCCCAACCUGUGUGAGCCCUUUCACCUCCCUGUUGGUUUCCUCUUCAGCUGCUGCGUCUCUCCCAACCUGUGUGAGCCCUUUCACCUCCCUUCCGUCCGAUGGCAGUUCCCUGACACAUCCUUCUGGACCGUAUAGAGGGGCUGGGAGCUCGGGGCACUGUUAUACAGUGGUUUCGCUCCUUCCUCCUGGGCCGUGUUCAGAAAGUGGUGGGGGGGGAUGAGUGUUCAGACCCCUGGGCCCUCACUUGUGGGGUGCCUCAGGGUUCCGUCCUCUCCCCCAUGCUUUUUAACAUCUAUAUGAAGCCGCUGGGAGAGAUCAUCAGGGGGUUUGGACUGGGUGUCCAUCAAUAUGCAGAUGAUACCCAGCUCUACCUCUCUUUCAAAUCAGAACCAGUGAAGGCGGUGAAGGUCCUGUGUGAGUGCCUGGAGGCGGUUGGAGGAUGGAUGGUGGCUAAUGGAUUGAAGUUGAAUCCUGACAAGACAGAAGUAUUGUUUUUGGGGGACAGGGGCGGGCUGGUGUGGAGGACUCCCUGGUCCUGAAUAGGGUAACUAUGCCCCUGAAGGACCAGAUGCGCAGCCUGGGAGUCAUUUUGGACUCACAGCUGUCCAUGGAGGCGCAGGUCAAUUCUGUAUCCAGGGCAGCUGUCUACCAACUCCACCUGGUACGCAGGCUGAGACCCUACCUGCCCGCGGACUGUCUCGCCAGAGUGGUGCAUGCUCUAGUUAUCUCCAGCUUGGACUACUGCAAUGCGCUCUACGUGGGGCUACCUUUGAAGGUGACUCGGAAACUAUAACUAAUCCAGAAUGCGGCAGCUAGACUGGUGACUGGGGGCGGCCGCCGAGACCACAUAACACCGGUCUUGAAAGACUGGCAUUGGCUCACAGUACAUUUCCGAGCACAAUUCAAAGUGCUGGUGUUGACCUUUAAAGCCCUAAACGGCCUCGGCCCAGUAUACCUGAAGGAGCGUCUCCACCCCCAUUGUUCUGCCCGGACACUGAAGUCCAGCGCCAAGGGCCUUCUGGCUGUUCCCUCAUUGCGAGAAGCAAAGCUACAGGGAACCAGGCAGAGGGCCUUCUCGGUAGUGGCGCCCGCCCUGUGGAACGCCCUCCCAUCAGAUGUCAAAGUGAUAAAUAAGUACCUGACAUUUAGAAAACAUCUUAAGGCAGCCCUGUUCAGGGAAGUUUUUAUCUGUGAUAUUUUACUGUAUUUUUGGUUUCUAUGGAAGCCGCCCAGGGUGGCUGGGGAAACCCAGCCAGAUGGGCGGGGUACAAAUAAUAAAUUAUUAUUAUUAUUAUUAUCAUCAUCAUCAUCAUCAUCAUCAUCAUUAUCAUUAUUAUUAAAAUUUUUGCAUCCAUUUUGUCAUAUAAGGUUUUGCUUGUUCGGGCUUGGUGUCAUAUUUGAGUAAUAGUUUAUAAAUUUUACCCAAAAGGUAGAACUCUGUUAUGAUGGACUCAAAUUCUGUCUUUUCACUGAUUUAAAUGUUUGCCAUACAGUCUUUCUUGAAUCUGGAUAUUAGUUUGACUGAAGGGGCGCUGCGCAGAGAGGAAAAUCUGUGCAGCGCCUCUCCAGCAAAGCAAAGCCUGGAGAGCAAGAGGGAUUGGUGUGCACCAACCCCUCUCGUUCUCCAGGCUUCAGGCUGCUAUCCGCAAGCCUUCGGAGCACAGCGGGAACUUGUGCUGCGCUCCAAAGGCUUCAGGCGGCUAUCCCUGAAGCCUGGAUAGCGAGACCCUCUCGCUCUCCAGGCUUCAGCGAAAGCAACGCGUAGCCUCAGGAGCGCCGAGGGAGCGCUCCCUCUGCGCUUCGGAGGCUUCGUGUUGCUAUCGCUGAAGCCAAGGAGCCUGCAUUCGCUCCAUAGGACGCACACACAUUUCCCCUUAAUUUUGGAGUGUAAAAAGUGUGUCCUAUAGAGCAAAAAAUACGGUAGACAUAUAUUCACUUAUCGGCUCUAAUAAUAAUAUUGCAGUGGUGACAUUAACAGUGCAGGUAAGGGCAUUGUUGUGAUUUUUGUAGUGCAACUCAUGAUUUUUGUGGUGCAGGCUGUGCCCCUGGACAUGAUGUGUGAUUUGACAGUGAGUUUGGGGUGGCCCAAUGCAAAAAGCAUUAGGAUCCAUGAGGAUCCAUGCAUCAAAACCACGUUUUUGGGCCAUGGGAUGACCAGGAAGCCGUGGAUCCGAGUUUUUUGUGGUGCGGGCUGUGACCCUGGCCAUGAUGUGUGAUUUGACAGUGAGUUUGGGUUGGCCCACUGGAAAAUGUGUGAGGAUCCAUGAGGAUCCAUGCUUCGAAACCACGUUUUUGGGCCACGGUAUGGCCAGGAACCCGUGGAUCCGAGUUUUUUGCGGUGCAAGCUGUGCCCCAUGGCAUAAAUUGUGAUUUAACAGUGAUUUAGGGGUGACCCAGUGCAAAAAGCGUGAGGAUCCAUGAGGAUCCGUGCUUCAAAAGCACAUUUUUUGGCCAUGGAGUGGCCAGGAAGCCGUGGAUCUGAGUUUUUUGUGGUGCAGGCUGUGCCCAUGGACAUGAUGUGUGAUUUGACAGUGAGUUUGGGUUGGCCCAAUGCGAAAAGCGUAAGGAUCCAUGAGGAUCCGUGCUUCAAAACCACGUUUUUGGGCCACGGUAUGGCCAGGAAGCCGUGGAUCCGUGAUUUUUGUGGUGCAGGCUGUGCCCCUGGCCAUGAUGUUUGAUCUGAUAGUGACUUUGGGCUGGUCUUGUGCAAAAAUCAUGAGGAUCCAUGCUUCGGAACCACGUUUUUGGGCCACGGUGUGGCCAGGCAGGCGUGGAUCCGAGUUUUUUGUGGUGUAGGCUGUGCCCCUGGACAUGAUGUGUGAUUUGACAGUGAGUUUGGGCUGGCCCAAUGCAAAAAGCAUAAGGAUCCAUGAGGAUCCGUGCUUCAAAACCACGGUUUUGGGCUGUGGUAUGACUAGGAAGCCGUGGAUCCGUGAUUUUUGUGGUGGAUGCUGUGCCCCGGCCAUGAUGUUUGAUCUGAUGGUGACUUUGGGUUGGUCUUGUGCAAAAAUCAUGAGGAUCCAUGAGGAUCCGUGUUUUUUUAACCAUGUUUUUGCGCCCCUGCGGCCCCCCAAAACAGUGGAUGCGUGAUUUUUUUGAUGCUGCCUACAGAGUAAGACAUGGUCUACAGUAUCAUGGUGGUUUUAUUUAAUUUGAAUGAAAAAAUCAUAUGAAUUCACGAGGAUCCGUCUAGAUCCGCCUUUUACCUUUUUCCCUGCUCUACCUUGGAGUUCCUUCACUUAAUGCUUUCAAUCCCAAUUGGUAGUUGCAAUUGGAUAUUUGGGUAGGGUGCGCGCUCUUUGAUACUGUUUAUAUUAUUACAGUUGCCAGCAGUGUAAUUAAUACCUGAAGGCGCUGCCUUUUAAUUGAAGUGGUUGAGAGCGUGUUAGGUGGUCUCAUGGCUCCAAAGAAAAAUAUUGAUCCGGCCCCUGCUGUCUCCGAACCAAAGAGCGCUCCUGUCAAGCGUGCACAGUCAGCUCAGUCAGGCAAGGGUUCCUCCAUUACGGGGCAGGCAAUAGGGCUAUUGGGUUCAACCUUAGCAGGCAUGGCUAAAAUCCCGCGUGCAUUGCGUAAGUUUUUUUACCGAAUUUGACUCUAUGAUGGAUAGGUUCAGGCCGGGAGACGAUGACCAGGGUUCAGGCCAUCAGUCUUCCCCUGACCACAUUUCCGAUACGGGAGCCAGCGGCUCUAGUGGGUCCCAGAGUGAUGAUGGUGAGAUGCCUGACACAUAAUAAUAAUAAUAAUAAUAAUAAUAAUAAUAAAUUUUAUUUGUAUCCCGCUCUCCCCAGCCAAAGCCAGGCUCAGAGCGGCUAACAUCAUAUAAAUAAGACAAUAUGCAUAAUACAAUAUACAAUAUGCAAAUAAAAUAACAUUCAACAUUCAGUAAAAUAAUAUAAAAUAAUUUUAAAUAUCAGCAUUUCAAAAUUAAACAGAAAUCCACUCAACAAUUACAAUAAGUAAUUUCUAAACUCCAAUCAAUAAAACAACAGCAAACCACAGUGCACAACAUAAUAAAAUACAAAAUAAGAAGCAGAGACUGGAGGGUGGGGCAAGGCAGGUGGAAAGAGGCCUUGCCUGAUGGAGUCUCCCCCCUCACAGUCCUUCCUCCAGGCACAGCUUCCUUAUGAAGAAUCCUAGGACCGGGGGUGGGGCAAGGCAGGUGGAAGGAGGCCUUGCCUGAUGGAGUCUCCCCCUCACAGUUCUUCCUCCAGGCACAGCUUCCUUAUGAAGAAUCCCAGGACCAGGGGGUGGGGCAAGGCAGGUGGAAGGAGGCCUUGCCUGAUGGAGUCUCCCCCCUCACAGUUCUUCCUCCAGGCACAGCUUCCUUAUGAAGAAUCCCAGGUCCAGGGGGUGGGGCAAGGCAGGUGGAAGGAGGCCUUGCCUGACGGAGUCUCCCCCCUCACAUCCCAGGCCUUCUUUGAUAAUUUGCAAGCGACUAAUGCCGCACCCCAGCAGGGGGCUCCCACGCCUAAGCCCCGCAGCAAGCAAUCUCGUUCUGCAUCGCGCACGCGAACAAAUGUUCAGUCUGCCAUCGUGCCCCCAAGGAGGGAUGAGCAGCCUCGGCGCACAGGCUGGAAGGCCUUGCGAAAGACGGAUAGGCGGGCUUCUUCCCCCCAUUCCCCUGUCUCGGCUGGGAGGCAGCCAUCAGUGUCGUUUUCCAGCGCCACACCGAGCAAAGCGUUGGCACAAAUCGCAGGCGCUUACACGUCCUCAGAGGGCGAAAGUGUGCUUCAAUACCCAGAUGCAGCUAUAGCACCCAAAAGCGACAGCAUAAGCAGCAUUCCAAGAAGAGCAAGAAUUCCAAGAGGGACGACUCAGACUUGGACUCAGGUACGUCCUCCUCUUCUUCAUCCAGCUCUGACUGAUAGCGAUGAGUCACUGAAUUGCUACUGGGGCCUGGGUGAAGGGGUUCCUGGUUUACCGUUAUGGACAUGGAAUAGGAGAGCAAAUUCCCAUUGUAAGCGGUUUGGCGGGACCUUGAAGUGUAAGGACGGGGUGCUACUGGAGGACGUUAAAGUCUCUACCAACAGGCCCAAAGAUAUUAUCCUGGGUAAUCAUUUGUCUGCAAGAACCAGGGCCAAAAUAUUGAAUGGUGCGUAUGUAGAUAUCUUUAAGCUGCUCCCGCUAGAUGAAAAAUCUGAAAGAAAGCAUGUUUAUGGUAAGCGAAAGUAAUAGUCACCCAGGGCGGAUAAAAAUUUUGAAAAUUGGCUAAAUGGCUUCCAAGUUUUUUUCUGCGUAGUAGCAGCGGCUUAUCCAAAAAGAGCGAUGCAUUUGAUUGUCUAUCAAGCACUCGUGAGGACGGCCUACGCCACGGGCAGAGAAUCUGCGGCCAUUCAUUACGAUAAAAUGUUCCAGAGAAACGCUGCACUGCUGCCCUCUGCACACUGGGAUCGGGUGGACCAAUUUAUCUGGCUUACGUACGUGGGUCCCCACAUCAAAAAGAAACCGCCGGGGGGGCCGCCAGGGGCGCAUUGGAAGAUGGCCGACAAUACCAUCUCUCCGGCUCACACGAGGUAAUUAAGAGGCUAAUAUGGGAGUAUGUAGCCUCCCUUGUUUCCCCAGGGAAUGGGGAAAACACUGCCUUCGCCUGCGGUUGCCGAUAAAUCACCCCCGAGUUCGAAAGAAGAAGGGGGUGAAGGCACUAGGAGCACAGCACUCGUGUGGAUUUCUGGCUCUCCCGACGCCGUCUCUGAUUGCGCGACCUGGUUGCAGGAGCUUAAAGUAAACAAUUAGAGAGAGCAGCAAAUGCACAUGCUUCGAGUGAAGAACAGGAGUUUAGACUGCUAAUUGAAGUGACCUCUGUGAAGUUGAGCGACGGGCUGGAUUCAACAGGAAAAUAUAUCAAGAAGAAGAUACAUCAAAGGGUCGGUAUAUCGGGAAGGGGGGGGGGGGACUUUUCUUUUUCUCUCUAUGUGAUUACCUAACAAUCCCUCCCCAAGAAGAACCGUUGCAACAAUUGACUAUAAGUGGGGUGAUUAAGAAACUGUGUGGAAAUGAAUUACUAACCAAAGGCUUGGCUUGUGGAGAUCUGGAAAGGAGUGAAAGGCUUUUGGAAUGACGCAGUUAUAAAAAGAGAUUCGCCAUGACGGCAGGCUUUGUUGCAGGGUUGACGAUCAAGAGGGGGAGGAAGCCAUGGAUUUGUUAUUAUAUUGGACACUUGUGUCUGACCUGGCAGAACCCCCUGAGAAGAUCGAGAAGGGAGUGACAGGCCUGCGAAGAUUAAUGAGCAGACGUUAAGAUUGUUUUCUAUGGAAGUGAUGAAAUGCGUCUGCUGUCUGAAUAUGACUCUUGGAUGAAUGGAAAAAUCCACACAGGAUUAUAAAAACGCUUGUUUUCAACUCGCUUGUGGAGACUAUCAGAGGUCACAAAGAAAGGAAAAAUAUACGAAAACAACAAGAAGAGAUGAGGAAAACAACAAAGAGAGGAAUGGAUAGAACUGUGAACAUUAUUUGGCCAGAGCUGUGAACAUCAAAGCAGCAGCAAUAGAGAUGAUCGGAUCCCUUUCUGAGCUCGAAGCAUGGGUACCCCCAAACAACAAUUUAAAAUUUGACUCUGUAAUUUGGAACUAAUGUGAUUUGAUUGGUUUGUUAAUAAAAAUUAAUUUUUUUAAAAAAAAGAAAAGAAACCGUCGGACCAGGGUAAAUUUCUGAAAUCUGACUUCAAAAGAAAUACGCGCCGCAAGGUAUGCUGGGAGCUUAACAAAGGGUUAUGUCAAUGGCAAAGUUGUAAGUACUCACACGAGUGUGACGGGUGCCUGGGGAAUCACCCUGUUGUGUUUUGUUACAGGGGAAAGCAGCCCUUUCUGGGAGGCAGGGGGUCCCACCAGCAGAGUAGACAGGGUGGACAACCCCCUGCCCAAGGGGGUGCACGGAGACAAUAAUUCCCUUUCACUUGCAUUUUCACCCAUCAAGCUUCACACGCUAAAAGCCCUCCUUGAUUUGUACCCCAAUAAGAAAGAUGCAAACUACCUUUGGGAGGGCUUCUCCCGGGGGUUUAGAAUUCCUGUAUCGGUGGCUCCAAAUCCCAAGGAUCCACCCAACCAAAAAUCUGUAAGAGAAAGGCCCGAAGUUGCAAAAAAGAAAAUAGAAAAGGAAAUAUUGGCAGGGCGGGUGGCUGGUCCUUUCACUAGCCCACCUAUUCCAAAUUUGCACAUAUCCCCCUUGGGUAUUGUACCCAAGAAGGCGCCUCGGCAAUUUCGUAUGAUUCAUAACUUGUCGUAUCCCGAAGGGGGCUCAGUAAAUGAUGCCAUCCCAGGCGAACUCUGCUCAGUAAAAUACGCCUCCUUCGAUCAUGCCAUCAAACUUAUCCGGACCUUCAGAAGAGGGGCACUAUUAGCAAACUGUGAAAUUGAAUCCGCCUUCUGCCAAUACAUCCUGAGGACUUUCGUUGGUUAGGUUUUAAGUUUGAGGGCUCCUGUUACGUGGAUAAAGCAAUGCCAAUGGGUUGUUCAGUCGCAUGCGCUGCUUUCAAAACUUUUAGCACCUUUUCGGAUUGGGCCCUGCGUUUCAAAACCGGUUUAUCUGAUUUUUUACUGGUUGGACCGCCAAAUAACAAUUCAUGUGCAACGUUGCUUGAUGCUCUUGCCUCUCUUUCGCUGGAGUUAGGUGUUCCCCUGGCAGCAGAAAAAACCGAGGGUCCGGUCACGACUACGACUUACUUGGGCAUCGAGCUCGACACGGUCGCCCAGACGUCGUGUUUGCCUGAGGCCAAGCUGACAGCUCUUAAAGCGGCAAUCUCCCAGCUCCUCCCGCUCAAAAAGUAACACUCCAGGCAAAUUCAGUCCUUGCUAGGCCACUUAAACUUUGCCUGUCGGGUGGUAGCCCCCGGGCGCCCAUUCUGCUCACGGCUGGCUAGGUUAUCUGCAGGGCAGGGCUGCGGUCACCACAUCACAGGGUAUGCCUCACAAAGUCCUGGUUGGACAGACAACCAGUCAGUAGUCAAUGUCCUGACCAAACAAUCUUCGCGUUCAGAAAGGGUGUCCACGAUGCUGCGAUCGUUUGUGUUACGGUGUCUGCAAUUUAACAUCAUAUUUUCAGCAGAAUUCAUUCCUGGUAUUAAUAACAAUAUUGCGGAUGCGCUAUCUCGAUUUCAGAUGGACCGCUUCCGGUCGUUAGCCCCAGAAGCACAGCAAUUGCCAGAGCCAUUCCCGGAGCACCUGUGGAGCCUUGGAAGCGAGACGUGAUGCAGGGAGUAUUGGUUUCGGUUGCCCCUUCUAUGCUUAGGUCCUACUCAAAAGCCUGGCCUGAUUUUCUAGCAUUUCGGAGAAAAUCUUUGGGUAUUGCGCAUCAAGAGCCCCCCACCACGGACCAGGCGCUGCAAUUCUUAGUUCAUCUGUGCAACCUUGGUCGUGCAGCAAAGACCUUAACUAUACAAUCGGCUGCAAUUUCCUUCUUUGCAAAAUCUAUUUACUGCACUGACCCUUGCACUGAGUUCGUGGUGCGCAGGGCUCUCGAGGGUGGCGCAGAUUACAACCACCAAGUAAGGAGGGGCAUAGGCCCAUUCCAUUCAAUCUCCUCAGUAAUAUACGAAAUAAAUUAAAAUCAGUGUGCUGGUCCAAAUACGAGGCCCGUUUAUUCUCAGCUGCAUAUUCUAUAGCAUUUUUUUGGCGCUUUAAGAGUUGGUGAAGUGGUACAUGAAGGUGAACCGGGUCCUUUAUCCCAAGGCCUGCAGCUUGAUGAUAUUCAGCUUUCUGAUUCAAUGUUGGUGGUUCGCAUCCUUUGCUCAAAAACAGACCAAAAAGGAAAGGGUGCCUUGGUUUGGUUGAUGGCAACCAUGAAAGCGGUCUCUGCCCUGUAAAGGACACAAAAAGGUUUUUGGGUCUCAGGCCCCCAGGUUCUGGCCCUUUCCUGGUACACGAGGAUGGGUCCCGUCUUGCCAGGCAGCAAUUCACUCGGGUGUUGCGCAAAGCCAUUGAAGCUUGUGGGCUUCCGGCUAGGGAAUAUGCUGCCCAUUCUUUUAGGAUCGGGGCCGCCACAACGGCGGCUCACUUGGGAUUGCCAACAGACAGAAUAAAAGACAUGGGUCGCUGGCGAUCCAACGCGUACAAAAACUAUAUCCGCGACAGCUCCAAAAUUUAAAACAGACCAAUCACUUACACGCCUCUGUCAUUUUUCUUGAUUUUCAGGGUCAAGCCUCAUAGAAAUCUGGAUUGUGGGACACAGUAUCGUCCACUGGGCCCAGGAACGGGCGGUCGCUAAUGGCCAGGGAUGCCAACUGGGUUUUCCACCGCACAUUCACAUUUCUUGGAUAUCGAGGCGUGGGAUGCGCUGGGCAGAGAUGAUGCCAAUUGUGAUGGCCAGGGUGGAGGCACAUGUCCCCCAACACUUUGGUUGUGCAGCUGGGAGAGAACGACUUGCCUUGCCGGAAGGGCGUGGACUUGCUUUUCACUAUCAAAAAGGACUUGGGCACUCUUGCGCUGAAUUUCCUGAGAAUGACUCCCAUUUGGUCGCUGCUGUUGGAGAGACGCGUUUGGUGUGGCAGCAAUUCCCCAGCCGCUGCAGACCGUGCCCGGAAGCAUUUGAAUCAUUCCAUUUCACAGAAAGUGGUUGCAUUGAAUGGCCGGGUGAUCCCGCACCCUUCCAUUGUUUUCAGCAAAAUGACCUUAUUUUGCGACGAUGGCGUGCACCUUUCCGAUUGGGGAAUGAUAUCUUGAACUUCUGCCUGUCCAGUGUGCUUCCCCUGUGCACAAAACACUGCUCAGUGCAAUCUUCUGGGGAAAACUUCACCUAAGGCAGGAAAUAGCAGAGCUGCAGCGACGUUGCUUCCCUGAAGAAAAACAGGGAGUAAAACAGUCCAGAGACACGGUUCUUCUAAUCUAAGAAGCUUUUAUUUACAUGCCAAGCAGUAAAUCAGUCCACCAGAAAAUUCAGACAUCUCAAAGCACAACUCCGACUGAAAUCGAAACUAACUUUCACAGAACAAAGAACAAAGAACUGUGAUGUAACAUCCUGGCUGACUUCCCGUAGAAGCCCUUCCCUCAGACUCGAAGCACAGAAGGUUAACCCUUUAACCACCACACUCUACAUGAUAUAUGGCUGGCUGAUAUUGCAGAGGGCUUGAGGCAUUGACUACAGAUGUGAGCCUUUGGGCUCUUGUGGCGGUUAGGCAUUGUUUGACCUUGUGUGGGGGAGGGGAGGUGUGGCCAUCAACUGCCCCUCCAUGCUUAAGGGUAUUCCGUUAAAGGAAUCUGGGGGUGUUGAUCUAGUCUGAAGCCCGGCUGGGGGCUAGGGCCUUGACACGACCCCGACGGGAACUUCAGGGGAAGCUUGAGUUGGUUUGCAUCGACAGGGCUCCCCCUACCGGUGGCUUACCCUUACUGGACUUCCUGCACAAUGGGCAGGAGUCAGAUAUAGUCAGGUCCAAUCAAUGCCUAAGCCAAUACCGCUCACAUUCUGUAAUUCAAUAAAGUUGUGGCCAAAAUUUGCCCAAUAACAUAAACCUAAUAUCUGUGUCCUUGUGUGAGUUAUUUCCAACGAGGGGGUGGCUGCGG